UACGGAGGAUCCAAGCGUUAUCCGGAAUCAUUGGGUUUAAAGGGUCCGUAGGCGGUUUGGUAAGUCAGUGGUGAAAGCCCAUCGCUCAACGGUGGAACGGCCAUUGAUACUGCCAGACUUGAAUUAUUAGGAAGUAAACUAGAAUAUGUAGUGUAGCGGUGAAAUGCUUAGAGAUUACAUGGAAUACCAAUUGCGAAGGCAGGUUACUACUAAUGGAUUGACGCUGAUGGACGAAAGCGUGGGUAGCGAACAGG
Molecule: ribosomal RNA, 254 nt
Filed under: uncultured bacterium
Lineage: Bacteria
Description: partial 16S ribosomal RNA
Rfam family: Bacterial small subunit ribosomal RNA
Source: RNAcentral